AGAUUGAACGCUGGCGGCAUGCCUUACACAUGCAAGUCGAACGGCAGCACGGGAGCAAUCCUGGUGGCGAGUGGCGAACGGGUGAGUAAUACAUCGGAACGUGCCCAAUCGUGGGGGAUAACGCAGCGAAAGCUGUGCUAAUACCGCAUAAG
RNAcentral lists this ribosomal RNA (152 nucleotides) under uncultured soil bacterium. RNAcentral describes it as "partial 16S ribosomal RNA". It matches the Rfam family "Bacterial small subunit ribosomal RNA", at positions 26 to 177 of the family's 1533-position model. The record is from RNAcentral.